This 107-nucleotide ribosomal RNA is filed under the name Vibrio vulnificus. Lineage: Bacteria; Pseudomonadati; Pseudomonadota; Gammaproteobacteria; Vibrionales; Vibrionaceae. The record is from RNAcentral.
CAUAGCGUUUUGGACCCACCUGAACCCAUUCCGAACUCAGAAGUGAAACGAAAUAGCGUCGAUGGUAGUGUGGGGCUUCCCCAUGUGAGAGUAGAACAUCGCCAGGC